ACGGAAAUGAUUCUUCUUCUUUAUAAAACUCUUCUAACUAAUUCUCCAGCUCAGCCUUAAAAAAUAAUUCUCUGUUUUGCACCCUAUUUCUCACUUACUAACAAAAUCUUUCAUCCACUACAAUCGGCACCUCAACACCCAGAGGUUGAAUCAAUUCAGGCUCCGGUUCCUUCAAGAUCUCGUGCAUUUCUUCCUCUCCAAUCAAUAAAUAACAAGAAGUUUUAUAUUUAUAUCCUGAUGACCACUUUUCCUCACAAUAGUAGUAGAGACCCUUGUCUCUUUUCAUCUUAAUUUCAGCUGCUGAAAUUUCUUAAAAAGGGGGUGUUUUGAUAUGAAGUUUCUAGUAUUAGUGUUUGGCUGUGUGUGGGAGAAAGAAAUGGGAAUAAGGUUGGAUGACUUGUUUGUCGAGAAUCGAUUUAGGGAGGAAUUACUGAGGCUAGUUUGGAUAGGUUUGGUAUAGUAUGACUGAUAGAUUUCAGAUUUGAAUUGGCUGCAUACUUCUGUUCAUAUAUCUUUAUUAAUGAAACGGCAUGAAUAUAUGAUGUCGGUUUAGCUAACAAUAAUUCGCAUUUCAGGUACUCUUGAAGGCCAGCAAUGAAUAAUGACACCACCCAGUCCUCACUGAGUCCAGUAACCUGAUUGGCAUAAGCAGUUCCAGACAAAUGGAAGAAAAUCAUUCUCAGUCUCAUCUCCUCAGAUUGGUAAAAUUGUUGUUGAUGUCGAGGAUGUGAAGAGCCUUCAUUACCGACUGGUGUUACUUGCUUCAGUUUUAGUGCUUCCGACAGCAUGCUUCGGAUUUCUCUGAGUCCUCCAGUCCGUCCAUACGCGAUGCCGUCAUAGAGACGUGACUUACAACCUCCACGUGAUUCCGUUGCAGAGCGGCAAUUUCUUGCUGCCAGAGUUCAUCGUAAGCCAUGCUUCCUCUCAGCGAGAGUACCAAAUGAUAGAUUGAUUGAAAAAAAAAAAGAUGAUGUUAACUUUUAUAUAUUAUAAAUUAAUAAGGAAAAUAUGAUUUAAA
Molecule: long non-coding RNA, 1018 nt
Organism: Arachis duranensis
Lineage: Eukaryota; Viridiplantae; Streptophyta; Magnoliopsida; Fabales; Fabaceae
Exons: 3
Source: RefSeq, a predicted model, not a curated record